UACUAAGUUUCCACAAGAGGAUCUCUUUCU
Molecule: non-coding RNA, 30 nt
Filed under: Mus musculus (house mouse)
Lineage: Eukaryota; Metazoa; Chordata; Mammalia; Rodentia; Muridae
Source: RNAcentral